Small nuclear RNA from Phyllostomus discolor (pale spear-nosed bat), 107 nucleotides. NCBI's taxonomy places the organism in Eukaryota, Metazoa, Chordata, Mammalia, Chiroptera, Phyllostomidae. The record is from RefSeq and is a predicted model, not a curated record.
GUGUUCACUUCAGCAGCACAUACACUAAAAUUGGGAUGAUUCUGAGGAGAUGAGCAUGGCCCCUGCGCAAGAACAACACACAAAUUCCUGAAGUGUUCCGUGUGGUU